Molecule: ribosomal RNA, 253 nt
Filed under: uncultured bacterium
Lineage: Bacteria
Description: partial 16S ribosomal RNA
Rfam family: Archaeal small subunit ribosomal RNA
Source: RNAcentral
UACCAGCACCCCGAGUGGUCGGGACGAUUAUUGGGCCUAAAGCAUCCGUAGCCGGUCCUGCAAGUCUUCCGUUAAAUCCAGCUGCUCAACAGAUGGGCUGCGGGGGAUACUACAGGGCUAGGAGGCGGGAGAGGCAAGCGGUACUUUAUGGGUAGGGGUAAAAUCCGUUGAUCCAAAGAAGACCACCAGUGGCGAAGGCGGCUUGCCAGAACGCGCUCGACGGUGAGGGAUGAAAGCUGGGGGAGCAAACCGG